This 528-nucleotide ribosomal RNA is filed under the name Ideonella sp. enrichment culture. RNAcentral describes it as "bacterial SSU rRNA". It matches the Rfam family "Bacterial small subunit ribosomal RNA", at positions 375 to 896 of the family's 1533-position model. Lineage: Bacteria; Pseudomonadati; Pseudomonadota; Betaproteobacteria; Burkholderiales; Sphaerotilaceae. The record is from RNAcentral.
ACGCAGCCCUGAUCCAGCCAUGCCGCGUGCGGGAAGAAGGCCUUCGGGUUGUAAACCGCUUUUGUCAGGGAAGAAAUCUUCUGGGUUAAUACCUCGGGAGGAUGACGGUACCUGAAGAAUAAGCACCGGCUAACUACGUGCCAGCAGCCGCGGUAAUACGUAGGGUGCAAGCGUUAAUCGGAAUUACUGGGCGUAAAGCGUGCGCAGGCGGUUUUGUAAGACAGAGGUGAAAUCCCCGGGCUCAACCUGGGAACUGCCUUUGUGACUGCAAGGCUUGAGUGCGGCAGAGGGGGAUGGAAUUCCGCGUGUAGCAGUGAAAUGCGUAGAUAUGCGGAGGAACACCGAUGGCGAAGGCAAUCCCCUGGGCCUGCACUGACGCUCAUGCACGAAAGCGUGGGGAGCAAACAGGAUUAGAUACCCUGGUAGUCCACGCCCUAAACGAUGUCAACUGGUUGUUGGGAAGGUUCCUUCUCAGUAACGUAGCUAACGCGUGAAGUUGACCGCCUGGGGAGUACGGCCGCAAGGUUG